RNAcentral lists this ribosomal RNA (1129 nucleotides) under Salmonella enterica subsp. enterica serovar Derby. RNAcentral describes it as "bacterial SSU rRNA". It matches the Rfam family "Bacterial small subunit ribosomal RNA", at positions 1 to 1119 of the family's 1533-position model. Lineage: Bacteria; Pseudomonadati; Pseudomonadota; Gammaproteobacteria; Enterobacterales; Enterobacteriaceae. The record is from RNAcentral.
AAAUUGAAGAGUUUGAUCAUGGCUCAGAUUGAACGCUGGCGGCAGGCCUAACACAUGCAAGUCGAACGGUAACAGGAAGCAGCUUGCUGCUUCGCUGACGAGUGGCGGACGGGUGAGUAAUGUCUGGGAAACUGCCUGAUGGAGGGGGAUAACUACUGGAAACGGUGGCUAAUACCGCAUAACGUCGCAAGACCAAAGAGGGGGACCUUCGGGCCUCUUGCCAUCAGAUGUGCCCAGAUGGGAUUAGCUUGUUGGUGAGGUAACGGCUCACCAAGGCGACGAUCCCUAGCUGGUCUGAGAGGAUGACCAGCCACACUGGAACUGAGACACGGUCCAGACUCCUACGGGAGGCAGCAGUGGGGAAUAUUGCACAAUGGGCGCAAGCCUGAUGCAGCCAUGCCGCGUGUAUGAAGAAGGCCUUCGGGUUGUAAAGUACUUUCAGCGGGGAGGAAGGUGUUGUGGUUAAUAACCACAGCAAUUGACGUUACCCGCAGAAGAAGCACCGGCUAACUCCGUGCCAGCAGCCGCGGUAAUACGGAGGGUGCAAGCGUUAAUCGGAAUUACUGGGCGUAAAGCGCACGCAGGCGGUCUGUCAAGUCGGAUGUGAAAUCCCCGGGCUCAACCUGGGAACUGCAUUCGAAACUGGCAGGCUUGAGUCUUGUAGAGGGGGGUAGAAUUCCAGGUGUAGCGGUGAAAUGCGUAGAGAUCUGGAGGAAUACCGGUGGCGAAGGCGGCCCCCUGGACAAAGACUGACGCUCAGGUGCGAAAGCGUGGGGAGCAAACAGGAUUAGAUACCCUGGUAGUCCACGCCGUAAACGAUGUCUACUUGGAGGUUGUGCCCUUGAGGCGUGGCUUCCGGAGCUAACGCGUUAAGUAGACCGCCUGGGGAGUACGGCCGCAAGGUUAAAACUCAAAUGAAUUGACGGGGGCCCGCACAAGCGGUGGAGCAUGUGGUUUAAUUCGAUGCAACGCGAAGAACCUUACCUGGUCUUGACAUCCACGGAAGUUUUCAGAGAUGAGAAUGUGCCUUCGGGAACCGUGAGACAGGUGCUGCAUGGCUGUCGUCAGCUCGUGUUGUGAAAUGUUGGGUUAAGUCCCGCAACGAGCGCAACCCUUAUCCUUUGUUGCC